AUAACUUCCCAGCAUCAGUUGAUUUGAAAACAUUUUUCCCCCACCGAAAUACCCCUUUAUGGUUGGGCGACUCUAUGGUUUGGGCAAUACCAUGACGUAAUGUGGCACAGAUUCGCAGUUGUGGGGUAAUUCGGGAGGAUAUGGUGGUGGAAGCUCUGGAGGAAACGGAGGCUACAGUGGAGGAAACACUGGAGGAAGUGGAGGUUACGGUGGAGGAAGCUCUGGAGGAAGUGGAGGUUACGGUGGAGGAAGCUCUGGAGGAAGCGGAAGCUACGGCGGAGGAAACACUGGAGGAAGUGGAGGUUACGGUGGAGGAAGUUCUGGAGGAAGCUCUGGAGGAAGCGGAAGCUACGGUGGAGGAAACACUGGAGGAAGUGGAGGUUACGGUGGAGGAAGCUCUGGAGGAAGCGGAGGCUAUGGUGGAGGAACGACUGGAGGAGGUUCUACUAUCGGAAGAUGCGCAUGCAACUUGAACUGUGUAGAUGUAAGAGCAAAUGGGAACACUGCCAGAUGCCAAGCUGGAUACACCGCUGUCUCUUGUUCCUGUGGAAUGGGAUGUGGAACAUACACCUUCACAGGCUCCAACACCUGUAACUGUCAGUGCCUGAAUGUAGACUGGACAAGUGCCCGCUGCUGCAGGAACACCUAAACACAUGCCCCUGGAUGUCAUCUUUAUUUCACUGUUUAUUAUCACAUUUAAACAUUGCUUUGAUA
Long non-coding RNA from Hyla sarda, 714 nucleotides. RefSeq lists it as uncharacterized. Lineage: Eukaryota; Metazoa; Chordata; Amphibia; Anura; Hylidae. The transcript has 3 exons. The record is from RefSeq and is a predicted model, not a curated record.